CUGCAAGUGGUGUAGCUGGUAGCAUACGUGAUCUGGGUUCAUGGGGUCGCAGGUUCAAAUCCUGCCUUGCAGA
Molecule: transfer RNA, 73 nt
Filed under: Treponema sp.
Lineage: Bacteria; Pseudomonadati; Spirochaetota; Spirochaetia; Treponematales; Treponemataceae
Description: tRNA-Pro
Rfam family: tRNA
About the family: Transfer RNA (tRNA) molecules are approximately 80 nucleotides in length. Their secondary structure includes four short double-helical elements and three loops (D, anti-codon, and T loops). Further hydrogen bonds mediate the characteristic L-shaped molecular structure. tRNAs have two regions of fundamental functional importance: the anti-codon, which is responsible for specific mRNA codon recognition, and the 3' end, to which the tRNAs corresponding amino acid is attached (by aminoacyl-tRNA synthetases). tRNAs cope with the degeneracy of the genetic code in two manners: having more than one tRNA (with a specific anti-codon) for a particular amino acid; and 'wobble' base-pairing, i.e. permitting non-standard base-pairing at the 3rd anti-codon position.
Source: RNAcentral